GACGAACGCUGGCGGCGUGCUUAACACAUGCAAGUCGAGCGGAGCGGCGCACGGGUGAGUAACGCGUGAGUAACUGCCCCCCUCUCUGUGAUAACAGUUGGAAACGGCUGCUAAUACCGGAUAGUUGGGGAUGACUCGCGUCCUAUCAGCUUGUUGGUGGGGUAGUGGCCUACGAAGGCGACGACGGGUAGCCGGCCUGGGAGGGCGACCGGCCACAUUGGGCUGAGAUAGGGCCCAAUCGGCUACGGGACGCAGCAGGGGGGAAGAUGGCGCAAGGGGGGAAACCCUGAGGCAGCAACGCCGCGGGCGGAAGGACGGCCUGGGGGGUGGAAACCGCUUUCAGCCAUGACGCGGUAGUGGCAGAAGAAGCACCGGCUAACUACGUGCCAGCAGCCGCGGUAAUAC
This 405-nucleotide ribosomal RNA is filed under the name uncultured bacterium. RNAcentral describes it as "partial 16S ribosomal RNA". It matches the Rfam family "Bacterial small subunit ribosomal RNA", at positions 28 to 526 of the family's 1533-position model. The record is from RNAcentral.